This 253-nucleotide ribosomal RNA is filed under the name uncultured bacterium. Its description in RNAcentral is "partial 16S ribosomal RNA". It matches the Rfam family "Bacterial small subunit ribosomal RNA", at positions 524 to 776 of the family's 1533-position model. The record is from RNAcentral.
UACGUAGGGGGCGAGCGUUGUCCGGAUUUACUGGGCGUAAAGAGCGCGCAGGCGGUCGUUCAAGUCGAGUGUGAAAGCCCCCGGCUCAACUGGGGAGGGUCAUUCGAUACUGAUCGACUCGAAGGCAGGAGAGGGAAGCGGAAUUCCCGGUGUAGUGGUGAAAUGCGUAGAUAUCGGGAGGAACACCAGUGGCGAAGGCGGCUUCCUGGCCUGUUCUUGACGCUGAGGCGCGAAAGCUAGGGGAGCAAACGGG